Molecule: unclassified non-coding RNA, 302 nt
Organism: Callithrix jacchus (white-tufted-ear marmoset)
Lineage: Eukaryota; Metazoa; Chordata; Mammalia; Primates; Cebidae
Rfam family: Metazoan signal recognition particle RNA
About the family: The signal recognition particle (SRP) is a universally conserved ribonucleoprotein. It is involved in the co-translational targeting of proteins to membranes.
Source: Ensembl
GCCAGGUGUGGUGGCCUGUGCCUGUAGUCCCAGCUAGUCGGGACACUGAGGCUGGAGGAUCGCUUGAGUCCAGGAGUUCUGGGCUGUCGCGUGCUAUGCUGAUUAGGUGUCCGCACUAAGUUUGGCAUCAAUAUAGUGACCUCUUGGGAACAGGGGACCACCAGGUUGCCUAAGGAGGAGGGGUGAACCGCCCAGAUCAGAAAUGGAGCAGGUCAGAACUUCUGUGCUGAUCACUAGUGGGAUCUCACCUGUGAAUAGACACGGUACUCCAGCCUGCGAAACAUAGCGAGACCCCAUCUCUU